Molecule: long non-coding RNA, 2094 nt
Organism: Conger conger (European conger)
Lineage: Eukaryota; Metazoa; Chordata; Actinopteri; Anguilliformes; Congridae
Exons: 2
Source: RefSeq, a predicted model, not a curated record
AGUUUAAAAAAAAUAAAAUCAGGGUUUGAGGCUCUUUUUUAUUUUAUUUUUUAAAGUAUUUGAGAUGUAACAUUACCCCAGAGAGUUUAAAAAGGACAACUAAGUGCAAAAUCACCCUUCCCCACGUAGUCUGCCCCAGAAGAGCUUUGAGUUUGAUUACUUUUUUUACGCUUUGAGAUGGGGACGGGGGGCGGCUGGUGGCUGUUUGGGGACAGAUUUAACAGCUGUCGGGAAAACUGUGACUCUUAUUCCAAACAGACGUGUGAGUGUGAGGGGGGAGGGGGUGGUGGGUGGUGGUGUCGGUGGUUAAAAUGUGGGUCUGUAUCUGCUCCAAUAAGGGACAGUUUGAUCGCCAGACAUACACAAACACACACAUGCACGCACACACACACACACACACACACACAGAGCUACGCUGUCUGCAAGGUUUCCAGAUUACAAUAAGAAAAAAAAAAAACAAAAAAAAAAAAAACAACAAGGGCCCUCUUGUCUUUUAAAAAAAUAAGUAAAAUAUACCUUCCCUGGCACCGCUAGACUCAGUGAACGGACACCAAAUGUUUAUCUGGAUUUAGACCUUGGAGGUGUUUUUAAAGUUUUUUUGUUGUGUAUUCCAGACAGAGAAGUCCGCACAGAAAGUUGUGUGUGUGUGUGUGUGUGUGUGUGUGUGUGUGUGUGUGUGUGUGUGUGCGCGCGCGCGCGCGCGUGCGAUUUGCAGGGGUGUGUGUGUCUGAUGUGCAGGGGUAUGUGUGUGUGUCUGAUGUUCAGGGGUGUGUGUGUGUCUGAUGUGCAGGGGUGGGUGUGUUUGAUGUUCAGGGGUGUGUGUGUGUCUGAUGUGCAGGGGUGUGUGUGUUUGAUGUUCAGGGGUGUGUAUGUGUCUGAUGUGCAGGGGUGUGUGUGUGUGUUUGAUGUUCAGGGGUGUGUAUGUGUCUGAUGUGCAGGGGUGUGUGUGUUUGAUGUUCAGGGGUGUGUAUGUGUCUGAUGUGCAGGGGGGUGUGUAUGUGUCUGAUGUGCAGGGGUGUGUGUGUGUGUCUGAUGUGCAGGGGUGUGUGUUUUCAGUGUGACGGCUUGUUGUGGGGAGGGUCCCUGGUUGGUUAAAGAUCCUCCAGUGAACAGGAUGGGUAUCUGGGGCUGAAAUCCGACUGCAGGCUGCUUGAUAGACCUCUGUACCGGGAACAAUGCUUUGUUUCCUUUGGGUCAGAUUUACGCUCUGGGAUUAGGGCUGUACCCCUGUGGUGGAGUGGUGUGUGAGGUCCGUUUUCUCGUUAGAGUUGCGUGUCCUAACUGGACCUCACUGGCGCUGAGUUGAGGCGUUGAGUGUUUGAGUCCAUUACUGUUACUGGGUGGACCGCGGUGUCACCUAGGCAACUGCAGUGUUAUUUAUAGAACUUUUGGGCAGGUUUUGUGAACCCUAAACAGACCAGUCUAAGGCCGAGAUGUAAAACUCCUGGUCACAGUAACACCAGUAUUGAAGACCAGCUGCUCUUAAAGUGCACAGAAAUUAUGAAAGAUGGUUUUUAUUUAAUGAUUUAUUGUUUCCUGUAUGCCUGUUGCAUUGUGAGAGGGGGGGGGGGGGGUGGACACUUUGAUUGACAGGCAGAGCCCCACAGUGUGCCCUGGGCCUUAUCCAGGACCCUCUUGCCUGCACUUCUCUACCGCCAGCAGGUGGUGCUGUAGCUCUGUGCUUUAACAUGAGGCCUACAUGAGGCCACAAACCGCAGCUGACAGUGUCUACCGAAACGUGCCCAGUCCCAUGUCCCAGGGGAGUCUCAGUACCCCAUCCUGACAGUCUCUACCCCCUACCCCAAGGGCUGAGAGCUAAAAUUGGGGAGGGAGAUGGAAGAAGGCCCAAGUUUCAAGAAUAUAUUCAUGUAAAGGACUGAAAGUUCCUCCAAACCGGCAAAUGAUGGAAAUAUUAUACUGCUCAGAGUGAAUGACAUGCACCCCCCACCCCCCACCCAAUGUACUGAAAAAAAGCUUACUUUACGAAAAGUGAAGUUUCUUCUGUUCUUUUAUACGGACAGGGAUGGCCACUGGUGGGGACUCCCUUAUACUGUAUUCCAAAUAAAGAUAAUAAAUAAAGAAUAUGCAUUAAAA